RNAcentral lists this ribosomal RNA (253 nucleotides) under uncultured prokaryote. Its description in RNAcentral is "partial 16S ribosomal RNA". It matches the Rfam family "Bacterial small subunit ribosomal RNA", at positions 524 to 776 of the family's 1533-position model. The record is from RNAcentral.
AACGUAGGAGGCAAGCGUUAUCCGGAUUUAUUGGGCGUAAAGCGUGUGCAGGCGGUUUGGCAAGUUGGAUGUGAAAGCUCCCGGCUUAACUGGGAGAGGUCGUUCAAGACUGCCAGACUAGAGAAUGGAAGAGGGAGGUGGAAUUCCGGGUGUAGUGGUGAAAUGCGUAGAUAUCCGGAGGAACACCAGUGGCGAAAGCGGCCUCCUAGGCCAUUUCUGACGCUAAGACACGAAAGCUAGGGUAGCAAACGGG